This 506-nucleotide ribosomal RNA is filed under the name uncultured bacterium. RNAcentral's name for it is "partial 16S ribosomal RNA". The record is from RNAcentral.
GGAGUUAGCCGGUGCUUCUUCUGUGAGUGAUGUCCUUCCUGCCGGCUAUUAACCCGCAGGCCUUCUUCCUCACUGAAAGUGCUUUACAACCCGAAGGCCUUCUUCACACACGCGGCAUGGCUGGAUCAGGGUUGCCCCCAUUGUCCAAUAUUCCCCACUGCUGCCUCCCGUAGGAGUCUGGGCCGUGUCUCAGUCCCAGUGUGGCUGAUCAUCCUCUCAGACCAGCUACGGAUCGUCGCCUUGGUGAGCCGUUACCUCACCAACCAGCUAAUCCGACAUAGGCUCAUCCGAUAGCGCGAGGCCCGAAGGUCCCCCGCUUUCCCCCGUAGGGCGUAUGCGGUAUUAGCCUGGGUUUCCCCAGGUUAUCCCCCACUACCGGGGCAGAUUCCUAUGCAUUACUCACCCGUCCGCCGCUCGCCACCAGGGAGCAAGCUCCCCGUGCUGCCGCUCGACUUGCAUGUGUAGCUCGCCGCCACGCGUCAUCUGAGCAGAAUACAACUACUCGA